GUUUCUAAAAAAAACAUUUAUUUUUAUUUUAUAAAAGUUAUUAGCCCGCGAUAAUCCCGUAGUAUAUUUUUAAUUGUGUCCAUAAGUAAAUAGAGGCAUAGAGAAAAAUCGUUCAUGCUAAAAAAUGGCCCAUCCCAGGAUAUAAGGAUUUAAUAUAAUAGAUAUAAGGGCUCUCUACAGCCUUCCUUGCACCACUCUUUUGGCGACGCCGACGUCCUGAUCACCACACAAACUCGACGCAGAGUCUUCGUAGUCUUUGUCCGUUUCCAAUAAUCCGGAUCAACGAACGAUACCAGUGGUAGCGGAAAAGAUUAGUAGACUAGGGACAGCUG
RNAcentral lists this long non-coding RNA (332 nucleotides) under Anthonomus grandis grandis. RNAcentral describes it as "uncharacterized LOC126743342". The record is from RNAcentral. Lineage: Eukaryota; Metazoa; Arthropoda; Insecta; Coleoptera; Curculionidae.